CCUACGGGAGGCAGCAGUGGGGAAUAUUGGACAAUGGGCGAAAGCCUGAUCCAGCAACGCCGCGUGAGGGAUGACGGCCUUCGGGUUGUAAACCUCUUUCAGUAUCGACGAAGCUGCAUCUUUUUGGGUGUGGUGACGGUAGGUACAGAAGAAGCACCGGCCAACUACGUGCCAGCAGCCGCGGUAAUACGUAGGGUGCGAGCGUUGUCCGGAAUUAUUGGGCGUAAAGGGCUCGUAGGCGGUUUGUCGCGUCGGGAGUGAAACACUGGGCUUAACUCAGUGCUUGCUUCCGAUACGGGCAGACUAGAGGUAUGCAGGGGAGAACGGAAUUCCUGGUGUAGCGGUGAAAUGCGCAGAUAUCAGGAGGAACACCGGUGGCGAAGGCGGUUCUCUGGGCAUUACCUGACGCUGAGGAGCGAAAGUGUGGGGAGCGAACAGGAUUAGAUACCCUGGUAGUCCACACCGUAAACGUUGGGACGCUAGGUGUGGGGCCUAUUCCAGUCGGUUCCGUGCCGCNCGCGUACGACGUAUACGCCGCCCGCCGUCGGGUAGGUACGGCCGCCGACGGACGUAAACCGUACGAACGAAGUUAGACGGCGUGAGACGCGCCGACGGACGACGACGAGGGAGG
Molecule: ribosomal RNA, 631 nt
Filed under: uncultured bacterium
Lineage: Bacteria
Description: bacterial SSU rRNA
Rfam family: Bacterial small subunit ribosomal RNA (bases 1-543)
Source: RNAcentral